UGCUCAUCACAACGGCUUCCUGGCGUGAUGGAAAAUCUCAAUGGAGCA
Non-coding RNA from Ruegeria atlantica, 48 nucleotides. The record is from Rfam. Lineage: Bacteria; Pseudomonadati; Pseudomonadota; Alphaproteobacteria; Rhodobacterales; Roseobacteraceae.